RNAcentral lists this transfer RNA (68 nucleotides) under Bos taurus (domestic cattle). It matches the Rfam family "tRNA". From Rfam's summary of the family: Transfer RNA (tRNA) molecules are approximately 80 nucleotides in length. Their secondary structure includes four short double-helical elements and three loops (D, anti-codon, and T loops). RNAcentral also lists the same sequence under 5 other names. Lineage: Eukaryota; Metazoa; Chordata; Mammalia; Artiodactyla; Bovidae. The record is from Rfam by way of RNAcentral.
CCCAAUGACUCAGCGGUAGAGAAUCUGCCUGCAAUGCAGGAGACACAGGUUUGAUCCCUGGGUUGGGA